This 492-nucleotide ribosomal RNA is filed under the name uncultured bacterium. RNAcentral describes it as "partial 16S ribosomal RNA". It matches the Rfam family "Bacterial small subunit ribosomal RNA", at positions 29 to 507 of the family's 1533-position model. The record is from RNAcentral.
AGUGAACGCUGGCGGUAGGCCUAACACAUGCAAGUCGAACGGCAGCACAGUAAGAGCUUGCUCUUACGGGUGGCGAGUGGCGGACGGGUGAGGAAUACAUCGGAAUCUACUUUUUCGUGGGGGAUAACGUAGGGAAACUUACGCUAAUACCGCAUACGACCUACGGGUGAAAGCAGGGGAUCUUCGGACCUUGCGCGAUUGAAUGAGCCGAUGUCGGAUUAGCUAGUUGGCGGGGUAAAGGCCCACCAAGGCGACGAUCCGUAGCUGGUCUGAGAGGAUGAUCAGCCACACGGGAACUGAGACACGGACCAGACUCCUACGGGAGGCAGCAGUGGGGAAUGUUGGACAAUGGGGGCAAGCCUGAUACAGCCAUACCGCGUGGGAGAAGAAGGCCUUCGGGUUGUAAAGCCCUUUUGUGGGGAAAGAAAAGCAGCAGGUUAAUACCCCGCCGUUCUGACGGUACCCAAAGAAUAAGCACCGGCUAACUUCGUG